UUCCUGUAUCUCGUGACACACACAGGCAAAUGGACCGAUGCGUUCUUUGUCCACGGCACAGAAAGUGUUAGGGUGUAUGCGAGUCAUUUCUGAAGUUCAGUUAUAAGACAAACUGAGACUUCCUUGACUUGGAAAAUGUGCAUUAACCGGAUGUGACAUGGACCACUAAUGGACACGGGCUCCUUGGAUCUGGGCCGUGGACUUGUCGCUCGUUUCGGGGCCGUACAGGAAGUGGCAAGCGCAGCUCUUCUGCAUGAGCUCGGCGCGGGCGU
Molecule: long non-coding RNA, 272 nt
Organism: Perca fluviatilis (European perch)
Lineage: Eukaryota; Metazoa; Chordata; Actinopteri; Perciformes; Percidae
Exons: 3
Source: RefSeq, a predicted model, not a curated record